GAGUCAGACUGCACGAGAUAAGUUGGGCGGUCAAAAGGGAAAGAGCCCAGACCUACAGUUAAGGUCCCAAAGUGCGCGUUAAGUGGAAAAGGAUGUGGGAUUUCGAAGACAACCAGGAUGUUGGCUCAGAAGCAGCCAUACAUUCAAAGAGUGCGUAAUAGCUCACUGGUCGAGAGGUCCUGCGCCGAAAAUGUCCGGGGCUGAAACGCGCCACCGAAACUAAGGAAUCUGAAAAGAUUGGUAGAGGAGCAUUGCAUGCGGGAAGAAGCAGUACCGGAAGGAGCUGUGGACUGCAUGGAAGAGAGAAUGCCGGAAUGAGUAGCGAGAUAGAGGUGGGAAUCCUCUAGGCCGAAUAUCCAAGGUUUCCAGGGUAAAGCUGAUCUGCCCUGGGUGAGUCGGGACCUAAGGUGAGGGCGAGAGCCGUAGCCGAUGGACAACAGGUUGAUAUUCCUGUACUGCAGUAUGACAGAACUGUGGGGACACGUAAGGAGAGCGGGAGCCGGGAAUGGAAAGCCCGGUACAAGCGAGGUACCAGUAUGGUAGGAAAAUCCGCCAUGCAAUGGGAAGACGUGAUGUGGAGUGAAUUUUAGUAACGAAGCCCGUGAGCCAUGCGUCAAGAAAAGCCGCUAUCGUUCAUAUUGUACCCGUACCGUAAACCGACACAGGUGGAUGAGGAGAGAAUCCUAAGGCCGGCGGAAGAAGUAUUGCCAAGGAACUCGGCAAAAUGGCCCCGUAACUUAGGGAGAAGGGGUGCCUGCGAGAGCAGGCCGCAGAGAAUAGGCUCAAGCAACUGUUUAGCAAAAACACAGGUCUAUGCGAAACCGAAAGGUGAGGUAUAUGGGCUGACGCCUGCCCGGUGCUGGAAGGUUAAGAGGAGAGGUUAGACGUAAGUCGAAGCUUUGAAUUUAAGCCCCAGUAAACGGCGGCCGUAACUAUAACGGUCCUAAGGUAGCGAAAUUCCUUGUCGGGUAAGUUCCGACCCGCACGAAAGGCGUAAUGAUUUGAGCGCUGUCUCGGCAAUACAUCCGGUGAAAUUGAAGUGCCAGUGAAGAUGCUGGCUACCCGCGCCAGGACGGAAAGACCCCAUGGAGCUUUACUCCAGUUUGGCACUGGGGUCCGGUGUUGCAUGUACAGGAUAGGUGGGAGGCUGAGAAACGGUAACGUCAGUUGCCGCGGAGCCGCUGUUGGGAUACCACCCUUGUGAUAUUGGGCUUCUAACCAGCCGCCGUAAUCCGGCGGUGGGACAAUGCCAGGCGGGGAGUUUGACUGGGGCGGUCGCCUCCGAAAGGGUAUCGGAGGCGCCCAAAGGUUCCCUCAGAAUGGACGGAAACCAUUCGAAGAGUGCAAAGGCAGAAGGGAGCUUGACUGCGACACCGACGGGUGGAGCAGGUACGAAAGUAGGGCUUAGUGAUCCGGUGGUAUUAAGUGGGAAUGCCAUCGCUCAACGGAUAAAAGCUACCCUGGGGAUAACAGGCUUAUCACUCCCAAGAGUUCACAUCGACGGAGUGGUUUGGCACCUCGAUGUCGGCUCAUCGCAUCCUGGGGCUGUAGUA
Molecule: ribosomal RNA, 1553 nt
Filed under: human gut metagenome
Description: bacterial LSU rRNA
Rfam family: Bacterial large subunit ribosomal RNA
Source: RNAcentral